AUUGAACGCUGGCGGCAGGCCUAACACAUGCAAGUCGAGCGGGGUUUUCGGACCUAGCGGCGGACGGGUGAGUAAUGCGUAGGAAGCUACCCGAUAGAGGGGGAUACCAGUUGGAAACGACUGUUAAUACCGCAUAAUGUCUACGGACCAAAGUGUGGGACCUUCGGGCCACAUGCUAUCGGAUGCGCCUACGUGGGAUUAGCUAGUUGGUGGGGUAAUGGCUCACCAAGGCGACGAUCCCUAGCUGGUUUGAGAGGAUGAUCAGCCACACUGGAACUGAGACACGGUCCAGACUCCUACGGGAGGCAGCAGUGGGGAAUAUUGGACAAUGGGCGCAAGCCUGAUCCAGCCAUGCCGCGUGUGUGAAGAAGGCCUCGGUUGUAAAGCACUUCUAGCGAGGAGGAAGGGUUAGUAGUUAAUAGCUGCUAAUUUUGUACGUUACUCGCAGAAGAAGCACCGGCUAACUCUGUG
RNAcentral lists this ribosomal RNA (471 nucleotides) under uncultured bacterium. RNAcentral describes it as "bacterial SSU rRNA". It matches the Rfam family "Bacterial small subunit ribosomal RNA", at positions 30 to 507 of the family's 1533-position model. The record is from RNAcentral.